CAUUACGAAGCUUAGAGCGUUAACCUUUUAAGUUAAAAUUAGAGAUGAUUAGUCUCCGUAGUGA
This 64-nucleotide transfer RNA is filed under the name Microtus guentheri. RNAcentral's name for it is "tRNA-Lys". The record is from RNAcentral. RNAcentral also lists the same sequence under 1 other name. Lineage: Eukaryota; Metazoa; Chordata; Mammalia; Rodentia; Cricetidae.